RNAcentral lists this long non-coding RNA (204 nucleotides) under Musa acuminata (dwarf banana). Its description in RNAcentral is "long non-coding RNA (MACU_LNC010764)". Lineage: Eukaryota; Viridiplantae; Streptophyta; Magnoliopsida; Zingiberales; Musaceae. The record is from RNAcentral.
AUUAAUUUUCGCUAAACAUAUAUGUUUGAAUUGGUCGGAGCCUGAUCAGAGCUGAAGGACAAAGAUCCGAUUCCUAAAGAAUUUACUACCCGUAUGUUAUAUAUUAUAUGAUCAUGAAAAAUUCCAAAAAAAAUAAAAGUUUCAUGAAAGAAAGAGAAAUAUAUCAAAUGUGAUAUGCGCAACGUAUAUGGCAUCGAAAAUUAA